Molecule: ribosomal RNA, 397 nt
Filed under: uncultured bacterium
Lineage: Bacteria
Description: partial 16S ribosomal RNA
Rfam family: Bacterial small subunit ribosomal RNA
Source: RNAcentral
AUACGUAGGGGGCGAGCGUUGUCCGGAAUGAUUGGGCGUAAAGGGCGCGUAGGCGGCGCGGUAAGUCUGGAGUGAAAGUCCUGCUUUCAAGGUGGGAAUUGCUUUGGAUACUGCCGCGCUUGAGUGCAGGCGAGGGUAUCGGAAUUCCCGGUGUAGCGGUGAAAUGCGUAGAGAUCGGGAGGAACACCAGUGGCGAAGGCGGCUAUCUGGACAGUAACUGACGCUGAGGCGCGAAAGCGUGGGGAGCAAACAGGAUUAGAUACCCUGGUAGCCCACGCCGUAAACGAUGAAUACUAGGUGUAGGGGGUAUCGACUCCCUCUGUACCGCAGUUAACACAAUAAGUAUUCCGCCUGGGGAGUACGGCCGCAAGGUUGCUACUUAAAGGAAUUGACGGGG